RNAcentral lists this long non-coding RNA (689 nucleotides) under Homo sapiens (human). RNAcentral describes it as "HSALNT0221665". The record is from RNAcentral. Lineage: Eukaryota; Metazoa; Chordata; Mammalia; Primates; Hominidae.
UGGCCCAACUUAAUCCAUGUCAAAGUAACUGGGCUCACUGCAAUGGACUGAAUGUUUGUGUCCCUGCAAAACUCACAUGCUGAAACCUAAUCACCAAUGUGAUGAUAUUAGGAGGUGGGGCAUUGGGAGGUGAUUAGGACACGAGGGUAGAGCCCUCUUGAAUGGGAUUAGUGACCUUAUAAAGGAAGCUCCAGAGACCUCCCUCCACCUUCUGUCAAGUAAGGACACAGCAAAAAGACAGCCAUCUGUGAACCAGGAAGGACCUCACCAGACACUGAAUCUGCUAGUGCCUUGAUCUUGGACUUCCCAGAUCUGUGAGAAAUAAAUUUCUGCUGUUUAUAAACCACCUCGUCUAUGGUAUUUUAUUAUAGCAACCUGAAUGGACUAAGAUACUCACUGUCACCUAAUAGUCCAAAUUUCAAACCUAGUCAGGUAUACAGAUUUGAAUGUGACAUACUAUGAUGUCAUAAAUGUUAGAAACCACAUAAAAAUAUUUAAAAUACUGACCAGGCCAAACAAACCAUGUCUGUGAGCUGCAUUCAGCCCAAGUGGCCCUCUGGCCUAUACCACGAAUGGUGGUGAUUAGGCCUGUUAUAAACAGCCAGCCCUGGGUCUGGCGUGGUGGCUCACACCUCCUACUCUUAUUUUCUUCCUCGGCACUUUUACAGCUGACAGACUGCAAGUUCCCC